RNAcentral lists this small RNA (127 nucleotides) under Marmota monax (woodchuck). The record is from RNAcentral. Lineage: Eukaryota; Metazoa; Chordata; Mammalia; Rodentia; Sciuridae.
GCUGGGCGCAGUGGUGCAUGCCUGUGAUCCCAGCGACUUGGGAGGCUGAGGCAGGAGGAUCUCGAGUUCAAAGCCAGCCUCAGAAACUUAGAAAGGCCCUAAGCAACUUAGCAAGACCCUGUCUCUA